Molecule: unclassified non-coding RNA, 320 nt
Filed under: plant metagenome
Description: partial contains 5.8S ribosomal RNA, internal transcribed spacer 2, and large subunit ribosomal RNA
Rfam family: 5.8S ribosomal RNA (bases 1-105)
Source: RNAcentral
GAAAUGCGAUAAGUAAUGUGAAUUGCAGAAUUCAGUGAAUCAUCGAAUCUUUGAACGCACAUUGCGCCCGCCAGUAUUCUGGCGGGCAUGCCCGUUCGAGCGUCAUUACAACCCUCAGGCCCCCGGGCCUGGCGUUGGGGAUCGGCGGAAGCCCCCUGCGGGCACAACGCCGUCCCCCAAAUACAGUGGCGGUCCCGCCGCAGCUUCCAUUGCGUAGUAGCUAACACCUCGCAACUGGAGAGCGGCGCGGCCACGCCGUAAAACACCCAACUUCUGAAUGUUGACCUCGAAUCAGGUAGGAAUACCCGCUGAACUUGAGC